This 90-nucleotide transfer RNA is filed under the name Candidatus Pelagibacteraceae bacterium. RNAcentral's name for it is "tRNA-Ser". It matches the Rfam family "tRNA". Rfam says of the family: Transfer RNA (tRNA) molecules are approximately 80 nucleotides in length. Their secondary structure includes four short double-helical elements and three loops (D, anti-codon, and T loops). The record is from RNAcentral. Lineage: Bacteria; Pseudomonadati; Pseudomonadota; Alphaproteobacteria; Candidatus Pelagibacterales; Candidatus Pelagibacteraceae.
GGAGAGGUGGCCGAGUGGUUUAAGGCGCACGCUUGGAAAGUGUGUAUACUGUCAAAAGUAUCAAGGGUUCGAAUCCCUUUCUCUCCUCCA